RNAcentral lists this ribosomal RNA (253 nucleotides) under uncultured bacterium. Its description in RNAcentral is "partial 16S ribosomal RNA". It matches the Rfam family "Bacterial small subunit ribosomal RNA", at positions 524 to 776 of the family's 1533-position model. The record is from RNAcentral.
UACGUAGGGGGCAAGCGUUAUCCGGAUUCACUGGGUGUAAAGGGAGCGUAGACGGCCAUGCAAGCCUGGAGUGAAAGCCCGGGGCCCAACCCCGGGACUGCUCUGGGAACUGUGCGGCUGGAGUGCGGGAGGGGCAGGCGGAAUUCCUGGUGUAGCGGUGAAAUGCGUAGAUAUCAGGAGGAGCACCGGCGGCGAAGGCGGCCUGCUGGACCGCGACUGACGUUGAGGCUCGAAAGCGUGGGGAGCAAACAGG